GUGUCAGCAGCCGCGGUAACACCCGCAGCCCGAGUGGUAGUCACUUUUAUUGAGCCUAAAGCGUUCGUAGCCGGUUUUGUAAAUCCUCAGACAAAUUCUCCCGCUUAACGGGAGAUACUCUGGAGAGACUGCGAAACUAGGGACCGGGUGAGGUUGAAGGUACUUCUGGAGUAGGGGUAAAAUCCUGUAAUCCUGGAAGGACAACCGGUGGCGAAGGCGUCCAACUAGAACGGAUCCGACGGUGAGGAACGAGGGCUAGGGGAGCAAACCGGAUUAGAAACCCGGGUAGUCC
Molecule: ribosomal RNA, 292 nt
Filed under: uncultured Thermoplasma sp.
Lineage: Archaea; Methanobacteriati; Thermoplasmatota; Thermoplasmata; Thermoplasmatales; Thermoplasmataceae
Description: partial 16S ribosomal RNA
Rfam family: Archaeal small subunit ribosomal RNA
Source: RNAcentral